Molecule: ribosomal RNA, 597 nt
Filed under: Plenodomus lingam (blackleg of rapeseed fungus)
Lineage: Eukaryota; Fungi; Ascomycota; Dothideomycetes; Pleosporales; Leptosphaeriaceae
Description: eukaryotic LSU rRNA
Rfam family: Eukaryotic large subunit ribosomal RNA
Source: RNAcentral
UUGACCUCGGAUCAGGUAGGGAUACCCGCUGAACUUAAGCAUAUCAAUAAGCGGAGGAAAAGAAACCAACAGGGAUUGCCCUAGUAACGGCGAGUGAAGCGGCAACAGCUCAAAUUUGAAAUCUGGCUCUUUUAGGGUCCGAGUUGUAAUUUGCAGAGGGCGCUUUGGCGUUGGCAGCGGUCCAAGUUCCUUGGAACAGGACGUCACAGAGGGUGAGAAUCCCGUACGUGGUCGCUGGCCUUCGCCGUGUAAAGCCCCUUCGACGAGUCGAGUUGUUUGGGAAUGCAGCUCUAAAUGGGAGGUAAAUUUCUUCUAAAGCUAAAUACUGGCCAGAGACCGAUAGCGCACAAGUAGAGUGAUCGAAAGAUGAAAAGCACUUUGGAAAGAGAGUCAAAUAGCACGUGAAAUUGUUGAAAGGGAAGCGCUUGCAGCCAGACUUGCCUGUAGUUGCUCAUCUGGGCUUUUGUCCAGUGCACUCUUCUACAGGCAGGCCAGCAUCAGUUUGGGCGGUUGGAUAAAGGUCUCUGUCACGUACCUCCCUUCGGGGAGGCCUUAUAGGGGAGACGACAUGCAACCAGCCUGGAUCUGAGGUCCGCG